This 986-nucleotide ribosomal RNA is filed under the name Salmonella enterica. Its description in RNAcentral is "partial 23S ribosomal RNA". It matches the Rfam family "Bacterial large subunit ribosomal RNA", at positions 711 to 1611 of the family's 2925-position model. Lineage: Bacteria; Pseudomonadati; Pseudomonadota; Gammaproteobacteria; Enterobacterales; Enterobacteriaceae. The record is from RNAcentral. RNAcentral also lists the same sequence under 1 other name.
AGACCCGAAACCCGGUGAUCUAGCCAUGGGCAGGUUGAAGGUUGGGUAACACUAACUGGAGGACCGAACCGACUAAUGUUGAAAAAUUAGCGGAUGACCUGUGGCUGGGGGUGAAAGGCCAAUCAAACCGGGAGAUAGCUGGUUCUCCCCGAAAGCUAUUUAGGUAGCGCCUCGUGAAUUCAUCUCCGGGGGUAGAGCACUGUUUCGGCUAGGGGGCCAUCCCGGCUUACCAACCCGAUGCAAACUGCGAAUACCGGAGAAUGUUAUCACGGGAGACACACGGCGGGUGCUAACGUCCGUCGUGAAGAGGGAAACAACCCAGACCGCCAGCUAAGGUCCCAAAGUCAUGGUUAAGUGGGAAACGAUGUGGGAAGGCCCAGACAGCCAGGAUGUUGGCUUAGAAGCAGCCAUCAUUUAAAGAAAGCGUAAUAGCUCACUGGUCGAGUCGGCCUGCGCGGAAGAUGUAACGGGGCUAAACCAUGCACCGAAGCUGCGGCAGCGAACGUAUCACCCAAGACAACUUUACGGAGUUGACGAUUGACGGAGCGAAGCGACGUCAAAGCGUUCAUUAAAGUCGAGUUGGCUUAGGGAUACGUUCGUUGGGUAGGGGAGCGUUCUGUAAGCCUGUGAAGGUGUGUCGUGAGGCAUGCUGGAGGUAUCAGAAGUGCGAAUGCUGACAUAAGUAACGAUAAAGCGGGUGAAAAGCCCGCUCGCCGGAAGACCAAGGGUUCCUGUCCAACGUUAAUCGGGGCAGGGUGAGUCGACCCCUAAGGCGAGGCCGAAAGGCGUAGUCGAUGGGAAACGGGUUAAUAUUCCCGUACUUGGUGUUACUGCGAAGGGGGGACGGAGAAGGCUAUGUUGGCCGGGCGACGGUUGUCCCGGUUUAAGCGUGUAGGUGUGUGUUCCAGGUAAAUCCGGUUCACUUUAACACUGAGGCGUGAUGACGAGGCACUACGGUGCUGAAGCAACAAAUGCCCUGCUUCCAG